Molecule: ribosomal RNA, 498 nt
Filed under: uncultured bacterium
Lineage: Bacteria
Description: bacterial SSU rRNA
Rfam family: Bacterial small subunit ribosomal RNA
Source: RNAcentral
CGACGUAGGUUUGAUCAGUGGCUCAGGAUGAACGCUGGCGGUAUGCUUUACACAUGCAAGUCGUACGAGAGUUUUUUAACUCAAGUGGCGGACGGGUGAGUAAUACAUCGGAACGUGCCCGAGAGUGGGGGAUAACGGAGCGAAAGCUUUGCUAAUACCGCAUACGAUCUACGGAUGAAAGCAGGGGACCGCAAGGCCUUGCGCUCAUGGAGCGGCCGAUGGCAGAUUAGGUAGUUGGUGGGAUAAAGCUUACCAAGCCGACGAUCUGUAGCUGGUCUGAGAGGACGACCAGCCACACUGGAACUGAGACACGGUCCAGACUCCUACGGGAGGCAGCAGGUGGGAAUUUGGACAAUGGACGAAAGUCUGAUCCAGCCAUUCCGCGUGCAGGAUGAAGGCCCUCGGGUUGUAAACUGUUUUUGUACGGAACGAAAAGGUUUCUCUUAAUACGAGGAGCUCAUGACGGUACCGUAAGAAUAAGCACCGGCUAACUACGUG